AUGGCCGACGCGGGACAAAGUGUAGUAUCUCUUCUUACCAGCUCAAUAUCUGAGGCGGGUUGUAUUUGUACCCAAGAUAUUAAACUUAUUUUUCAAUUUGGCGGAGUGCUUGAAGCCUGCUUCACCUCCGCCGCGGGUCGACCUGGUAUUGCACGAUCUUCGGGGGUUUUGGUCUACGGACA
Molecule: small nuclear RNA, 182 nt
Organism: Dermacentor silvarum
Lineage: Eukaryota; Metazoa; Arthropoda; Arachnida; Ixodida; Ixodidae
Product: U2 spliceosomal RNA
Exons: 1
Source: RefSeq, a predicted model, not a curated record